RNAcentral lists this ribosomal RNA (164 nucleotides) under uncultured bacterium. Its description in RNAcentral is "partial 16S rRNA". It matches the Rfam family "Bacterial small subunit ribosomal RNA", at positions 355 to 511 of the family's 1533-position model. The record is from RNAcentral.
UAGGGAAUCUUCCACAAUGGACGCAAGUCUGAUGGAGCAACGCCGCGUGAGUGAAGAAGGUCUUCGGAUCGUAAAACUCUGUUGUUAGAGAAGAACACGAGUGAGAGUAACUGUUCAUUCGAUGACGGUAUCUAAUCAGCAAGUCACGGCUAACUACGUGCCAG